UACGGAGGGUGCGAGCGUUGUCCGGAAUCACUGGGCGUAAAGAGCUCGUAGGCGGUCUGUCGCGUCGGCUGUGAAAACCUGGGGCUUAACUCCGGGCCUGCAGCCGAUACGGGCAGACUAGAGUUCGGCAGGGGAGACUGGAAUUCCUGGUGUAGCGGUGAAAUGCGCAGAUAUCAGGAGGAACACCGGUGGCGAAGGCGGGUCUCUGGGCCGAAACUGACGCUGAGGAGCGAAAGCGUGGGGAGCAAACAGG
Molecule: ribosomal RNA, 253 nt
Filed under: uncultured bacterium
Lineage: Bacteria
Description: partial 16S ribosomal RNA
Rfam family: Bacterial small subunit ribosomal RNA
Source: RNAcentral